CAGCCGCCGCGGGAAUACGGAGGGUGCAAGCGUUAAUCGUAAUUACUGGGCGUAAAGCGCACGCAGGCGGUCUGACAAGUCAGAUGUGAAAUCCCCGGGCUUAACCUGGGAACUGCAUUUGAAACUGUCAGGCUGGAGUCUUGUAGAGGGGGGUAGAAUUCCAGGUGUAGCGGUGAAAUGCGUAGAGAUCUGGAGGAAUACCGGUGGCGAAGGCGGCCCCCUGGACAAAGACUGACGCUCAGGUGCGAAAGCGUGGGGAGCAAACAGGAUUAGAUACCCCUGUAGUCCCUGUCUCUUAUAC
Molecule: ribosomal RNA, 301 nt
Filed under: uncultured bacterium
Lineage: Bacteria
Description: partial 16S ribosomal RNA
Rfam family: Bacterial small subunit ribosomal RNA
Source: RNAcentral